UGCGGGAUCGCCAAGUUGGUAAGGCACGGGGCUUUGGACCCCGCAUGCGCAGGUUCGACUCCUGCUCCCGCAGCCA
This 76-nucleotide transfer RNA is filed under the name Sulfobacillus benefaciens. Its description in RNAcentral is "tRNA-Gln". It matches the Rfam family "tRNA". Rfam says of the family: Transfer RNA (tRNA) molecules are approximately 80 nucleotides in length. Their secondary structure includes four short double-helical elements and three loops (D, anti-codon, and T loops). Lineage: Bacteria; Bacillati; Bacillota; Clostridia; Eubacteriales; Clostridiales Family XVII. Incertae Sedis. The record is from RNAcentral.